RNAcentral lists this ribosomal RNA (464 nucleotides) under Pseudomonas aeruginosa. RNAcentral's name for it is "bacterial SSU rRNA". It matches the Rfam family "Bacterial small subunit ribosomal RNA", at positions 32 to 491 of the family's 1533-position model. The record is from RNAcentral. Lineage: Bacteria; Pseudomonadati; Pseudomonadota; Gammaproteobacteria; Pseudomonadales; Pseudomonadaceae.
AACGCUGGCGGCAGGCCUAACACAUGCAAGUCGAGCGGAUGAAGGGAGCUUGCUCCUGGAUUCAGCGGCGGACGGGUGAGUAAUGCCUAGGAAUCUGCCUGGUAGUGGGGGAUAACGUCCGGAAACGGGCGCUAAUACCGCAUACGUCCUGAGGGAGAAAGUGGGGGAUCUUCGGACCUCACGCUAUCAGAUGAGCCUAGGUCGGAUUAGCUAGUUGGUGGGGUAAAGGCCUACCAAGGCGACGAUCCGUAACUGGUCUGAGAGGAUGAUCAGUCACACUGGAACUGAGACACGGUCCAGACUCCUACGGGAGGCAGCAGUGGGGAAUAUUGGACAAUGGGCGAAAGCCUGAUCCAGCCAUGCCGCGUGUGUGAAGAAGGUCUUCGGAUUGUAAAGCACUUUAAGUUGGGAGGAAGGGCAGUAAGUUAAUACCUUGCUGUUUUGACGUUACCAACAGAAUAAGC